UACAGAGGGUGCAAGCGUUAAUCGGAAUUACUGGGCGUAAAGCGCGCGUAGGCGGCUGUCUAAGUCGGAUGUGAAAUCCCCGGGCUUAACCUGGGAACUGCAUUCGAUACUGGGCGGCUAGAGUAUGAGAGAGGGAGGUAGAAUUCCCGGUGUAGCGGUGAAAUGCGCAGAUAUCGGGAAGAACACCCGUGGCGAAGGCGGCUACUCUGGGACGGUACUGACGCUGAGACGCGAAAGCGUGGGGAGCGAACAGG
RNAcentral lists this ribosomal RNA (254 nucleotides) under uncultured bacterium. RNAcentral's name for it is "partial 16S ribosomal RNA". It matches the Rfam family "Bacterial small subunit ribosomal RNA", at positions 524 to 776 of the family's 1533-position model. The record is from RNAcentral.